GGCACCAUUGAAGAAGUACCAGCGCGGAGCUAGUGCAGGAUCUGCCUUGGCAAUUGCUGUACAGGGUGUUCCCGCUGCUACUAUAGCUCAAGUUUCUGCAUGUGCAAGUGCAGCACAUUGUACUCUUCUUGGACUAAGAAAUAGCCUUGAUCCCGAGCACAAGAAAGAGUCCAUGGACAAGUAUUUGGGUCCUACUCAGCCAUGCGAUAGGAAUUGAUCCAAUGUAUGGAUUUCACCUUAACACAACAGACUGAUGUAUCUUGCCAUCCUAUCCGGAAUUCUCUUUGUAGUCAUGGUAGUCUGUAUGUCAUGUGAGUUGAACUCUCUUAUAACUUGCUCUUACAUACAUCCCUGAUAACAAAUUAUUGAACUUGCUUUAUCAAGUGGGAUAAAAAAUUGUCUAUGGUCUUGGCAAGCAUGGAGUAAAAAAGUUUGGUUUUAUCUUCGGUGAAAACACCUCCAAUAAUUGUUGAGCGUUGAAGGCGGUGAUACAUCUCCAGACUCUGGUAGUAAUCGUGCCUUUGUUGAUUUGGAUUGUGUUUUGAGUCAAAUUUUUAACAGCAGUCGAAAAUACAAUUAUCACUUGUGCUUAACCUCAUUAAGAAGAAAUGUUUACAUAUAGCUUGUAUUUCUGGAAUCAAGAGAUUAAUCCUUCAGGCCAACACAUUAUCUCAUUGCUUACAAACUUAUUUCUGGCCCUGACCCUGAAGUAUUACAUUUUGUAUGCAGGUGUACAGUCGAUGAAAACCAUCAAAUAGAUUCUUUCUGGCAAUUUUGUUCAUAAUGUAAAUGCUGAUUGGUGCUUAUAAGAUUUUCACCAUACUGCCAGAUAAUUGUAAAUUAUAGUAAUGAAAAUUGGUUACUAGGUCAUAGAAAGAUGUGCCCUUGAUUUUUUCACAGCAGAAUGUAUGUUGAUUUCAUUCAUAGUAUAAGAUUUUAUCUUAUACAACAAUAAAUAUUAAGGUUUGAUAAUUUUUAAUG
Molecule: unclassified non-coding RNA, 981 nt
Filed under: Hevea brasiliensis (rubber tree)
Lineage: Eukaryota; Viridiplantae; Streptophyta; Magnoliopsida; Malpighiales; Euphorbiaceae
Source: RNAcentral